Long non-coding RNA from Cottoperca gobio, 6269 nucleotides. Ensembl lists it as uncharacterized. The record is from Ensembl. NCBI's taxonomy places the organism in Eukaryota, Metazoa, Chordata, Actinopteri, Perciformes, Bovichtidae.
UGGGCUGCAAGUCAAAUUAGCUCUCCGUCAUCCUGCUCGCUGAGCGCACCGGAGGCUACUGCGGUAAGAUGCGGCGACGCACGAUGCCGAGCGGUGGAUGACAUGAUGCGCAAUGGCCGAACGAGUGGGGGGAGAGACCGAAAUUGGAUUCACUAACUGUGGUGUGCGGAUCAAAUUUAGACAAUAGGGCAGAAGCGAAUGCAUGUUUGACACAUUUGUAGUGCUGUAGCUCCAGUGGUGCAGGCCGACUGGAAGGAUGUGGUGGCGCUGAUCCCACUGAAGGAUGCUCCACAGCCCGAGGAGGGUUGAAUAGGCUUCGUCUGUAAACAACGAGGAAGCAGAGAGACAUUAAGUAAAGGACACAUAAUUCGGAAACACUGAGGCAUCGAAUGAGGUUGUUUUAUGACAGCUGAGUCAGCCCUCAGUGAUGAGAGAGUGGCCGACAGGGAGGGCGGUGAAGCUCUGAAGACGCCGUCACUGAGCGUCAGUCUGGAAGAAAACAAACCUCUCAUUAUCCUCUCUAUCAUCGGCGCUGACAGAUGGAUGUCUGACCUGGAUGUUUCUUUUCUUCACCUGGAGACUCUCAAAGUUAAGGAGCGAUAAAGGGAAACAUCACAUCUCCAGCUCGCUGUCAGGAAAACAACAUUCUAUGUUUAGUUUUGUUUGUCGGAAUGAACUCUUAAGAGAUUAGCAAAAGAGUCACCUCUCUCUUUGAGUGUCAAGUAAAUAUUUCGCCUUUAUCAGAAUGAAUCGGUGAGACAAGAGUAUUUCAGCUUUUUCAUACUGCUUAGUGUAUUUUUUCAAAACUAUGAUAUUUUUACCUUUUCAGCUGUCCCGCUCUGAAUCAAGAAUAGACUCUUGAUAGUGUCAGCGUUCUUUUUCACAAAUAGGAUUUCAACUUGACCUGACAGGCUGUAUUUUAAUAAAGCAUAAGCAAGGACAAACCAAUAAAACAUAGAUGAGGCCGACAACAAGCACCAUGCUCCAGCAGAAUAACAAUAACAACUACCCCUGCCUGAAUGUGUCAGGCUCCACCAGAGAGAUGCUCCAGAAGUGCUCCAGAGCCUCUCUGCCCUUCCCCAGCCGACUGGAGCUGGGCCUGGGAGACCUGCCACUGAUCCGGGGCCUCCGAGCCUGGGCCCUGUGCUCCAAGAACCGCCGGAAAGCCAGUGGUCUGCUAGGAGGAGGACAAGCCCCCAUAGCUCCUCCUGUGGGCCGCGGGGGUUCGACUUCCUGCCCCAAACCUGCAGAUGUGUACCUGAGCGGGGAGUGGGGUCGCAUGGGGUACGGGCUUCCCUUGGGGCUGGAUGCCAGGCAAGCUGGAAUCGGCGCUUUGGUAACAGUUGCCACUCUGAAGACUUCAGAGGGCAGCGGUAAGACACAGACUCAAUGCCUGUUCCUCCGGACUGAAAAAGGGAGCUGUUUGUACUCCACAGCUAAGCCCAGUUCUGGUGGGACUACCAGUGCAGCCUCCAGCGUGGUUGGGGGUUGGCUGAGAGGGAAGACAGGAGGAGGAGGAGGAGGCAGAGACAUCCCAGGCGGGAGGAGGGACAAUGGGCCAAAUCCGCCGGCACAUACUGGAGUAAACCGGGUUAGGGUGCGAUCUGGCCGGAGAUGGAGGAAGUCCAGUAAUGCAGCAGCCCGGGAGAAAACAGGCGCGAGCAGAGCGACUCAGCAGAGUAGCAGGGAGGAUCCUGCUGGAGAAAUCACUCUGGAAGAAAGGCAGGAAGAGCAAGACAAAGGAGGCCUGGCCAGUAAACAGUUUUCCAGCCCGCAGCAGGACAGCAAGAGAGCCAAACAGGAGAAAGAGGCAGCAUGCAGAAGUCCUAGAUGCUGCCACAAUGCUUCUCCAAAAACCUGUACUCGGUGUGGAAGGAGAGCACAGCGGAGGGAAAGCCAGAAUGGACACGAGAGAGGCGAAAGUCCAAGAAGAGGCACCUCGAACAGGAUGAACAUUGAGGUGAAAGGAAUGAGGAAGGAGAGGCAAAGGAAUGAGGAGGAGGAGAAGGGAGGCCUCUCCGGGUUAGAGUCAUCUAACUCGGUUUUGGCUGUACCAAACCCGAACCUUGAAUCUAACUACUUUCACCGAGAAUCCAACAGCAGCUGUGAUUUUGAAGAGAUUAGAGAAGCCGAGAGCAACAAGGAGCUGAAGACACAAACCUCUCACAGCAAGGACAACUGUUCAGAGAGAGAGGAGGAUACGAACUCUGACGUUAUGAAAAUACAUACAGAAAACAAUGAUUUAAUUCAUGGUCACUCUGGAACGCUCACUGAUGACGUUACCUCACGACUUAAAAGAGAUUUUGAUUACAGAAAGCCAAGUGAAAACCCCUGUGAAGAAAUAGCAGCUAAUCUGAAUGGAUUUUCUGAUCACGUGGAGGCAGAUCAAGAAUUGGAGAAAGAGAGGGAGAGUGUGGAUGUCGAAGAGGGGGAAGGGAGCAUCAAUCGGACUCCUGCAGAACUCUCGGCCGUAUCCGACUAUUCCACCUGCCCUGCCUCCAUCAGCACUGCAGUCUCCCUUGAGCCGUCCGCUCCUGUAGAGGGCAGCACCUGCAAUGUUGACCAUGAGACUUGUGUUCGAAGAGAGCAAGAGAUCAGCAGAGAAGAUCACCUUGAGAGGUAUCAACAAGGGGGUGUGGACCCAGGAAUCAUGGGUAAAGAAGAACUGGAUGAAAGUAGAUUUGACAAACGAGAACCAAACUGUGCGGUUGAGGAAAUCAACACAAACAGAAAACCAUGGCUUUUCUUUCAAAAGGCAGAAAACGGCAGCAAAAUAGAGGAAAGAGAAGCUUUGUCUUCACCUCCAGGACACGGAGAUCCUUCCAUCUUUGAUACAGACAACUGUAGUACAACUGAGCUUAACGGAGCAGAGCACAGAGAUGAGCUGGCAUGGGGAAAUAUAGAAGAGGAGUCACAGGAAGAGAAUAUAGAGAAGAGAGUAAACCGUGAGGAAGGGGAUGAAGCUGGGGAGAGUUGGAGGAGGGAGAGCAGCUUCAAUGAACUGGACAAUAGGGAGCGUAAAGGUGACAAAGAACUCCAGACUGAGCGUGACACAAAUGGCGAUGCCAUACAAGAGGAUAAUGAUAAAGAAGGAACGAGAAACUGUGCACUAAAAGACAAUCGGAGGCUGGAGGAGUCUGCGGACGCAUGCAGGGCAGGCAAGAAAGAGGUUGGAGACACCUGUGGACUAACAAGCAUCACCCAUGUUGAAGCAACUGGUGAGACCAGCACUAGCAUCACUAAUGUUGCCUGUGCUGAACCUUCCACCUCUCUUGCACUCUCCCUGGCUAAACCUUCCCCCAUUCCCCCCCCCCUAGGAUCCAUGGCAACCGGACUGCCAUGCCUGGAGGCAGAGAGGGAGAAUGAGGAGAAGGAAGGGGUCGGAGUGCCGGCAGGAGACGGAAAAGGAGGCCAGGAAGGGAAGAAAAGGCUCGGGAGACAAUUGGAGGAGAGGGGCUCCACCGUGGCCACUGAGGUGCGGAGGAAAGAGGAGGAGGGGAAGGAGGAAGAUGAGUUUGGAGUAUUCAUGCAUGCGGAGGGAGAGCCGGCUUGGAGCGAGGGAUACACCAUGUCUGCCUCAGUGCCUUGUGGGAGCAGAGAAAGUGUUGCACUUGGAAACAACGCCAUCACUGGGGAGUCGAACCACUGGACACCAGGCUGGACUGACAGCUCGUUCCACCAAUCAGACGACACGUGGACAGCCUUCCCUCAGGAUUCUUCGGAUGAAGGUCGAGACGUGGUGGGAAAGUGGUGGCAGACCAGCGCUGUGGAGAAGAGCAGAGACCUCUCGGCCAAUCAGAAUCUGGCGUCUGUCUUUGCUGAAGCCUUCCCCUCGCUGCCUGCUUCGUCCUCAACUGACCCCCGUGACCUCAACACUGUUCCCACACUGAGCCAACUCCUCAGGGGCAGAGACAGCCAGGACCAGGGGCCGUUGGACAGCUUCCAUGACUUGAACAAAAUGAUUUGCCAGAGAUACAAGAGAGCGAAUGGCGUGUCUCGUGAUCUGCUGCUGAGGACUUUACACCUAGAGCCGCUCCACACUGACAGCAGACCUGCUCCCUGGACAGCCAAUCGCCGUCUCUCACCCGGCCUUCCCUCAGCCAAUCAGAACGCUCAGAACGCUGCCGCUAAGCGACGGCUGUCGUAUGACUACAACAGAAACAUCAUGGAGUAACUGUGCGGGUUCAGCUCUGUUUGUACUGCGAUUCAUCAACUGACAGUUCGGACCGACACCGUGUUUCUCAAGACUGUGGAUUGACAACAUUUUUACUAUCUGUUAGUCAAAUACUGACUCACCUAUUGACUCUUUGCACUCUCUGGAUAACUAAGCCUGAGCCGGUGAGAAGAUAAAACUCAGAAAUGAAAAUGGAGCGACAGUUGUGUAUCAGAAGUUGUCUCCUCCAGCUCCUGUUGAUGUAUACUGGUGGAGUGUUUCCAUUACACAUGUGCCACCUUGUUCACCACCACCCUCCAUCCCUGAAGUUGUCCAUCCUGCAUUUUUUUUUUUUUUUACUCAGAAUAUUUAAAUUGUCCCUUGAUAGAAAUAUCUCUGUGACAGAGCUGCUGUUUUUGACAGAAAUGGUCUCAUUGUUUGAGUUAAUCUCAAUGGGUUGAGCCAGACAAAAACAUCGACUUGCAAGGAAUAAAUGAUAAGAAAAUAUAUAUCAUACAUGUUAUUUUUGCAUUCAUGAUUUUGCAGGUCAGCAUGCUUUGCUCACUAUCGUAUCUGUAUUGAUAUAGGCCAACAUUUCUUCCCCACUCUUCUCUUUCUAUUAACUUUUGCAAAAGAUGAGAUUUGUUAUCCAGAAUAUUGUCUCUGUGUCUCCACCAAAGCGCUGUCUAACUCAACACAUGAGAUUUGUUCAUCUUGUGGAGCAGCGCUGCCAGAAAGGCUGCAGAACGGAUGUUGUGUUCAUGUCACGUGGAAAUGGAAGAAAGCAAUAAGAGCAAAGGAUUUCUGUUACAACUUGCAAUCAUUGAAAUGAUCAGACAGUUCAAGAUGGCAACGUUACUGAUCGUGAAAUUUGCACAUUGAAAUAAUAAUUAUUCAGCACUGAACCUUUUGGGCGUUAAACGAUUAAUACAUUAUAAUUGCCAGAUUAGCAGUGAAUUAGUCGCAGUGAUGGAGCCAUUCAGGUUUUCUUUUUGUAAUUAUUCUGUAACAUGCUGUGUCAAGUAUAUUGGAGCUUUCUGAAAAACUACAUUUUUUAAUUAUAUUUACAAAUACAGUGACAAAAAGCUCCCAGAAAUGAUGCUUUUAUUUUGUUAGAGAAAAAAACAAGCAAUGACAUAAUGCUCCUUUUUGCUGUAACUCCAUUAAGACGGUAGCUUGACCAUGUAACCGCAGGAAAUCUUUAUUCAAACAUGCUGUAACCUCAACUCUCUACACCAGAAACCUGCAAUGUGACCGACUGUAUGGACGCAAACAUAUCUCUACAUGCUACAUUCAUGCUAUUGUCGAAGCUCAUUUCCUUCCCUUUCUCGUUUUUGAAAGAUAGAAGCAAAAGAAAAUCAUGUGAUCCCACUGGGGAGCAAAGUAAAGCAUUAUUUUUACUCGCAGAAUGCUGAAGAUGGGUCCAGGUGGGACGUGGCUUAUGAUUUUCCUUCACUUUUUUUGCAAAGCCUGCUUUCAUUGUGUAUUUGCUACAGAAUCUUUGGUUCCUCAGAGAAACGAGUUUGUCUUCCACUUAGUGCCAACAGGAACACCAAUGAAAGUGCCAAUGUAACGAAGCGAAGGAGACGUAGCCUCUUGUUUAUCAGACACACUGAAGUGGACUCCAACAAAUAUUCUGGCAUGUGACAAUGUCUUUCUUUAUCUCUGGCUUCCUGUCGGCCCCUUGUCCAUACUCAGUUGAGUCCACUUCACGGGACAAACUUGAAUCUAGCUGCCAAUCAAAACAAGGUCUUCAGAAUAUUGUUCACAUUGUAACCAUGUCGAUGAUGCACUGUACAUUUUUAAUUUAGACACACUACUACAUAUUAUCACCUCAGAUGGUUUAUUUCGCUCUACGUUGUAUAUUUCUCUUGUCAAUUUAAUGAUUUGUGGUGAAAUUCAGAAGUGUGUGUGUGUGUGUGUGUGUGUGUGUGUGUUUGUGCGUGUGUGUGUGUGUGUGCCAUUUGUACAAACUACAAAUUGCUGAAAAAGAUGAAUAUUUUCUGAUCUGUUCAAAUGUGGAGAAAGGAGUUGUAGCCUUGUUAACUGAUGUAAUAAAUUGAUACUGUGUGAUGGCUAACCGCUUCAGAAGUAUGUGACGUGUUCACUUUAAAAU